This 292-nucleotide ribosomal RNA is filed under the name uncultured bacterium. Its description in RNAcentral is "partial 16S ribosomal RNA". It matches the Rfam family "Bacterial small subunit ribosomal RNA", at positions 505 to 796 of the family's 1533-position model. The record is from RNAcentral.
GUGUCAGCAGCCGCGGUAAUACGUAGGUGGCAAGCGUUGUCCGGAAUUACUGGGUGUAAAGGGCGUGUAGGCGGGUUACUAAGUCAGAUGUGAAAUUCCGGGGCUCAACCCCGGCGCUGCAUCUGAAACUGGUAAUCUUGAGUGCUGGAGAGGAAAGCGGAAUUCCUAGUGUAGCGGUGAAAUGCGUAGAUAUUAGGAGGAACACCAGUGGCGAAGGCGGCUUUCUGGACAGUAACUGACGCUGAGGCGCGAAAGCGUGGGGAGCAAACAGGAUUAGAAACCCGCGUAGUCC